CCCCGGCCGGGAGGCAGCCGCUGGCCAGCGGAACAUCGGCCCCGCAGGACGCGGCACCCUCGGGGUAGGUGGCAGGGGGCACCUGGGGGGUGUGGGGCGCAGCGUGGGGACAGCCUCAGCCUGUGGAGGUGGUGACAGUGUUUCUGUCCCCUCUGCAGGGACCCGAGCCCCCCGGUACGGGGCAGAGUGGCCCCCGGGCUCACACCCACGCGGAGGGAGAGGUCAGCAUCACUGCCACGGGACAGGCCAGAGCUGGACCUCGGUAAGGGGGACCCCACUGGCAUGGGGACAGAGGGGACAUGCUCCUCCCUGCACGCCACUCGCCCUCCCCAGGGCGGCAGGAUGGUGUGGGGCUGCAGGACCGUGGGGACAGAGGGGACACGAUCCUCCCUGCGUGCCACUCGCCCUCCCCAGGGCAGCAGGAUGGUGUGGGGCUGCAGGACCGUGGGGACAGAGGGGACACGCUCCUCCCUGCACGCCACUCGCCCUCCCCAGGGCGGCAGGAUGGUGUGGGGCUGCAGGACCGUGGGGACCAGGUCCUGGUGGUCCCACGGAGCCCGCAGUGCUCAGCCCAGGGUGGGUCCUGCAGGCCUAGAGCUGGGUGCCAGUGGAUGCCACCCCUCUUCCCUGUCCUCCGCCGCAGCCUCCGAGUCAGAGCCCUCGCCCGCCAGGCCCCGGGCACCCCCCGCCCUGCGGAAGCACCUUGGGAAGCCGCCGGGGCCGGUGACAUCCCGGGGACAGCACACGGGUGACACAGCUGCAUCUGGGGGAGGUGACACCCCCCGGCAGCCCCAGCACAGCACCCCCAGGAGAACGUCCUGCCCCAGCUGCCGGGCACCCAUGGGCCCCUCUGCGCCGGGCAGCAGGGACACAGCCACACACGCAGAGCGUGGUCCUGGUGGCUCCUGUCCCCCAGGAGCCGAGAAACCAGAGCAACCUGGAAUUUGGUACUUGGCAGCCGCCCCUGCUGCCACCGCUGCCA
Molecule: long non-coding RNA, 982 nt
Filed under: Lonchura striata (white-rumped munia)
Lineage: Eukaryota; Metazoa; Chordata; Aves; Passeriformes; Estrildidae
Description: domestica (Bengalese finch) lncRNA (ENSLSDG00000011669.1)
Source: RNAcentral